UCCCCGUUGCCGAGGCAGUCUGAAUAGAAAAAUCCAACUAUUCAUAAGGGUUGCGCUCGUUGAUGGACUUAACCAAACAUCUCACGACACGAGCUGACGACGGCCAUGCAACACCUGUCACUGCUUGCCCCAUACUCAUUUUGAUAGAAUUCCGCGACUUUCAUCUCGGUAUCAAAACGACUAUGGGGCACAUUUUCCUUUCGGAAAACUUGGCAGGAUGUCAAGCCUGGGUAAGGUUCUUCGCUUAUCAUCGAAUUAAACAACACGCUCCACCGCUUGUGCAGGUCCCCGUCAAUUCCUUUGAGUUUUAAUCUUGCGACCGUACUCCUCAGGCGGGAUGCUUAACGCGUUAACUUCGCUACUGACCGGGUCGAUACGGCCAACAGCUAGCAUCCAUAGU
RNAcentral lists this unclassified non-coding RNA (400 nucleotides) under uncultured bacterium. RNAcentral's name for it is "contains 16S-23S intergenic spacer region". The record is from RNAcentral.